This 103-nucleotide ribosomal RNA is filed under the name Octodon degus (degu). The record is from RNAcentral. Lineage: Eukaryota; Metazoa; Chordata; Mammalia; Rodentia; Octodontidae.
ACUUACUACCAUACCACCCUGAACACGAUCUCAGAAGCUAACUUGAGCCAGGCCUGGUUAGCAUUUGACUGGCAGACUACCUGGAAACCAGUUGCUGUAGGAU